CCUACGGGAGGCAGCAGUGGGGAAUCUUGGACAAUGGGCGCAAGCCUGAUCCAGCCAUGCCGCGUGAGUGAAGAAGGCCUUAGGGUUGUAAACCUCUUUCACCGGUGAAGAUAAUGACGGUAGCCGGAGAAGAAGCCCCGGCUAACUCCGUGCCAGCAGCCGCGGUAAU
This 169-nucleotide ribosomal RNA is filed under the name uncultured bacterium. Its description in RNAcentral is "partial 16S ribosomal RNA". It matches the Rfam family "Bacterial small subunit ribosomal RNA", at positions 338 to 524 of the family's 1533-position model. The record is from RNAcentral.